This 885-nucleotide long non-coding RNA is filed under the name Brassica rapa (field mustard). Its description in RNAcentral is "long non-coding RNA (BRAP_LNC003656)". Lineage: Eukaryota; Viridiplantae; Streptophyta; Magnoliopsida; Brassicales; Brassicaceae. The record is from RNAcentral.
CGAAAGUAAACCUAGGUCUUGCCCUAAACCCAGCGCACUGGUCUCUAACAUCUCAAAGGCAUGAUAUCGAAAGAUAAGAGAUUCUUAAACCACGCCUCUAUGUUUACGUUCGAUACCUUCAGCGUCCCCGCAGAGUUCACAUCUCGCGGAAGAACUCUCGAAACAGGUCUCGAAUAAAACAUUUCACAAUCGAAGAAGGAUAUGAGACGACAACUCAUCACCUUCCUCCCCCACUAUUCACAAAUUCAUAAAAAAACGUUAUCCGAUUAUCAUACCAUAAAGCCGCGGAGCGGCAGGGAUUCAAAGCCACACACGGCCAGUCCCGAAAUACAAACAAGGCCGUUCAAGGCCGAAGCAUAAAGACAUAAAAAAAAAAACAAAUCUCUCGCAAGAGAUCUAACCCAUGUCACCCUCAGAACUUACGCUCCCUCUUCACCCGUCGCCUCGUCCGAGCCUGGAGCCGCGUCGCUUCCGUUCUCUCCGACCAUCGGAUCUUUCCCCUCUGGGUCUUCUGGACACGUCGGAAGGAAGCAAGCGGAUUUUAGGUCGGCCAGGAUGAGACCGAAAUCGCCAUCCUCGGCCGCCAUAUCUCCCUUGCAGCCGGACAGUCGGGCCUCUUCGGCCUCCAAGGUCGGGGGAGUCUCACUUUGGAACGACCGAACCACGGCCAUCCCGCCCUCAAUCGUCGCCAAAGCGAAAUCCCUGCUCCGGAUACACUCGAGGGAACCCAGGGAAGCAGAAAUCUUUGCCAAGCGAGCCUGAAACUCCGCACGAAGGGCAUCCGUAGCCUCUUGGAUCCCGCGGCGCGCUAGUCCAGCGUCACUCUCGAUCUGACGCUGGAGUCGACGCACCUCCGAGGAUUUGGCCUUCCUGUUUUUCUUUUCC